This 349-nucleotide unclassified non-coding RNA is filed under the name soil metagenome. RNAcentral's name for it is "partial contains 5.8S ribosomal RNA, internal transcribed spacer 2, and large subunit ribosomal RNA". The stretch from base 1 to 120 matches the Rfam family "5.8S ribosomal RNA", at positions 35 to 154 of the family's 154-position model. The record is from RNAcentral.
GAUGAAGAACGCAGCGAAAUGCGAUAAGUAAUGUGAAUUGCAGAAUUCAGUGAAUCAUCGAAUCUUUGAACGCACAUUGCGCCCUUUGGUAUUCCAAAGGGCAUGCCUGUUCGAGCGUCAUUUGUACCCUCAAGCUUUGCUUGGUGUUGGGCGUUUUUUUGUCUUUGGUUAUGCCAAAGACUCGCCUUAAAACGAUUGGCAGCCGGCCUCCUGGUUUCGCAGCGCAGCACAUUUUUGCGCUUGCAAUCAGCAAUAGAGGGCGGCACUCCAUCAAGACACUUUUUUUCACGUUUGACCUCGGAUCAGGUAGGGAUACCCGCUGAACUUAAGCAUAUCAAUAAGCGGAGGA